This 4900-nucleotide long non-coding RNA is filed under the name Zea mays. Its description in RNAcentral is "long non-coding RNA (ZMAY_LNC001579)". The record is from RNAcentral. Lineage: Eukaryota; Viridiplantae; Streptophyta; Magnoliopsida; Poales; Poaceae.
GUAGGGAAAUGUAGCAUCUCGUUAUGUAUGUAUCAUUCCGCUACAAGAUGGGGGCUUUAUAGGUCGGUCCGGGGUAGCCGGAUAGGUGGCCCAAAGUACAUUACUGCCCCCAGUCAGCGACCACAUUUUUACAACAUGUACUGUACAACGAGGUAAUUACAGUGCCGCAGCCCCCACUAGUUACGUGUACACACAAUUAUACCCACUGAUUACAUUGACAGGUGGGCCCCACAUAGCAUCAUUGCGUGUCCACGACCAAGAUAGGUACGUCUUCUGCAUUCGCUGCCUUCGUCCAGACGAGCCUUCGCAUCUCCUACCGGCCCUUAUCGAGAUGGCUCAUUUAGAAGGCUUCAGUUCCGGACAUCUCGUCCCUUGUAGUGGUCGAGGACUCCCGAGCCCUCGUCUUCACUGACCGAUGGCCGAUGUCAAUGAAGUCAUUGUCAAGUGAAUUCUCUGGUCAGCUACAGUGCUACAGUUAGUUGAGGUGGUUGGCGAAGACUUCAUGUUUCUGUCCAAAGGCCUGUUCGACAUUCAUCCCAACAAUACCCCUCGAGGGACCGAUUCAUCCUGAUGGGCCAAUCCUAAAGUAUUUUCCUAAAAAAGGGACGAAUGUCACAAUUGUACAUCUAGUGAACCGCCUUAACGGGGCCACUGGAUGUGACUGUUGGAAAAUCGAGGCUACAAUGCUUGUGUGGUAGAGUGGAUAAAUUGCUGCUAGCAACAACACUUUUCUUUGCUGCACGCCUUUUUCAAUGUAGUCGUUGCUCCUCCACCGUCGUUGCUCGAUCGCCACCAUCCUAUUGAUGCGCUACCGACGACGAGACUAGCGUUGAGCUCCGCACUGGCCUGUGUCAAGACUAAUGUUCACCGUCGGCACUAAUAUGCCGCCGUGCACCCGUUCCCAAUGGUGAUAGCUAGGCAAUGGCAUCACCGCAAUCGGCAUAGAGUAGUGGGGGUGCUGACGCCACUCGAUGGCCGGGUCGGGUAUCGCCUCAUCUUCAGGUUGGGGAAGUCGCUCUGGUGGACCGGGCCGUUCAAAUUACAAUCUGGGCCGGUUGAAGACUUCUUAGCAAUGUGUGAAAGAGAUGGAGUCGUUGGGAUAUUUUAAUUUUGGUUUUGGUCAGGCUAUCGGAGCGAACACCACUCCCGAGCCGAAGGCGAGGUCCUUGUGUCACACCCGGAUUUACGGGCGCGAAUCAAAUGUGUGCUAGGAACAAGUCUCACACAUAUGAUGACUCAUGGUACAGAAAUGAAUGUCACAUCUGAAAGGGAAAUGGUCUCAACAUUUCCUAUAAUCAAUUUUGGUGUUUGACGACCAUCACAAACCUUAUGGACUAACCAGUUUGCCUAGUUGAUCAUUUCUUAGGUGCAUAAGUCCAUCUUCAACUAUUCUAAAAUCGACUGUCCGGAAUACCGUAGAUUAUUCCGGACAGGAGAAGCUUUUUGGAAAAACACCUAAGCACGGACCGUCCGGGCCCUUGCGGUGGACCGUCCGCGACACCAAGAUGACCCACGGAUAGGAACACUGCAAAAACACAUGCAUACACUACGGACCGUCCGAUGGAGAAGCGAGCUUCGUCCGAGACCAAGCUCGGACCGUCCGGCCUCAGGCGCGGACCGUCCGGUCGGUGAAAAACCAGAAAACCCCGAAGGUGACGGGUUCGGUAAAAUGUAUUUUUAGCGUCCUCGCGGACCGUCCGGGGUGCACGACCGGACCGUCCGCGACUGCUUUACAUUCAAUACAAGAGCUAGCAAUCCACUCCAAGACACACUCAAAGCUUUCAACCUCUCAAAGUUUCAUAAUUUAGACAAGUGAUCAUUAGUGACUUGAGAGAGUGUGACCCGUAUGUUAUUUGUCGCUCUUGUUGCUUGGUUUUCACAAUCGUGCUUUCUUCAUCUCUUUCUCAACCUUCUAAGUGAAUUGUAAAGCAAGCAAGACACACCAAAUUGUGUGGUGAUCCUUGAGGGGUCUUAGUGACCCGUGAGAUUAAGAAGAAGCACUCAACCGAUUAAGUGACCGAUUGAGAGAGGGAAAGGGUUGAAAUAGACCCGGCCUCUAUGGCCUCCUCAACAGGACUAGGUUCUUUGGAACCGAACCUCGGUAAAACAAAUCAUCGUGUUCACUUGUUAAUCUUCACUUGAUUUGUUUUUCCCUCUCUAAAAGUUCCCUUGCUCAUACUGAUUUAAGUUUGCUCCUAAAGGUCAUCCGCAUUGAUUGAGCAACUCUAAGCAAGGAGAACUAUCUUUCGCACUCGUAUUUAAUUCUAACGCUAACCCCGGCCUUAGUGCAAGUUUAAGUUUAUAAAUUUUAGGUUUCACCUAUUCACCCCCUCUAGGCGACUUUUAAUUAGUAUCGGAGCCAGUGCUUCAUUAAGAGUCUAACCAACUCAAGGUGAUGUCUGGAGAUCACGCCAAGAGGGAGAUCAUGACAGGCGAAAAGGCCGCAAGCUCGGGGAGGACUCUUUCAAGGGAGUUCGGUAACAAGCAUAAGGAGAAAUCCUCUUCCUCCAUCAAGUCGCAUCGGAGAGGUGACAAGAAGAAGAAGAUGAAGAAGGUGGUCUACUACGAGACCGACUCUUCGUCACCCUCCACAUCAAGCUCCGAAUAGUGGAUGGUAGAAAGAUAUGACAGAGCCACUGCCAUUUAACAUGGAAGAAAAGCCCCAUAUGCAUUCCAUUCCCUGAAAGAUUUCUAAAGAUCUCACAGAAAGAAAUAAGGUCGUGAAUCCAUAACACCACCUGGUUGUAUCCUUAGGCUUGUCUACAGUGGGAAAAAAAUUUGGAGCUAGUCAUCAGCAAGAAAGCAAGACCAUUCCUCAAACAAGAUUGCUAUUCCAACCUAAGAACUGAAAAUUGUCGUGGUGUCAUGGAUGAUGAAUACAUUAGUACAAACAUUAUUACUAGAUGCAUGAUAUAGCAACAAACAGUGUCGUAUAAAUUGCAGUUAUUUAAUUUACCACAUAUCACUUCACUCAAAUGCAAAAUGUAGAGGUAGCAAUGUAUAUGCGCACACGCAUAAUGGAGACAAGGUUGUAACUACAACUGUAUUUUCAGUAUUUGUAAUGCUAGUUGUAAAUAUUGUAAAUUGAAAGUAGCGCAAACCAAUUAUGAUUCAGUUCUAAUAAAUAGACUGUAAAAACUUGAUGGCUUGAUAUACUAUUAAAAUUAUAAUAGGUAAGCGUAAUUAUUUCACUAUGUCCUGGUUACUGAAUUAACUUUGUCACCCAAUUUAUAUAUGUAAUGAAAUAAAACUCAUGAUCAAACCUUUUUCAUCAGAAUUGUAGGUCCUCCCUUCUUAUAUUAUCACUGAUGGACUCCUUACAUAGUUGAUCAGGUCAUAAAUUUUGCUUGCCGUAGAACAUUCAAGACUGGAUCAAAAACAAAACACAAAGUGUACAUGUAGAUAACCCCAAUUUGUCUAAUUUGUGAGACAUAAAGCUUACUGGACAUAUGCUACAGUAAAUAAUGCAGAAGAAAUAGAAUGUCAAGACAAAAUAUGGUUCAACAGCAAUCCUAGUCUUGUACCAAGAUUUCGGCUUAUUUGCAAAGGAGAUACGAGAUUUGCAAGCACAACUAAAGGUAAGAUUUAUUCAAAAAAUCUGUUUGAUUUAUCUAGUAUACAACUAGAAACACAAAUAAGUCUAGUAUGCAACUAGAAGACAUAUUAUGAAAUAAAUAAGUAGUGUUACAUGAACAUCCUUUUUGCCAGGGUUUGUAAUUGGUUGCAAAUUACAGGACUACAUACAAUUGAAACCCGAGCUAAGCUUUGACAGAUAAAAUACCAGCAACUAACAUGGUAGAGGUAAAAAUAACUUUUGGAGUAUCAAAAAGACUACAAGCUAGCGGCAACAAAAAAUGGGUUACUAACAUCUCUGUAACACUUGCUACAUAGGUGUUAGUUAGCCAUACAAAUUUCUAAAAUUCUAAAAAUAAAUGUAAAAUCUAGUAAUUAAAAUUAGAGGAAUUCUAUCUUCUAACAAAGGAAACAAUAACAAACUAAGUAAAUCUAAAGCGGGCUACAAAAAACUAAUUGAAAUGACCUUAAACAGUGUCCCGGUUCGCACAGAAAAUAUUCCUAGCUCUAAGUUCACCAAAAUAAAGGAACAUGCCAAGUCCAAGACACAGAUUAGUUUCAUUGUGAUGCCCUCUAUACAAAAAGGAUUUCCAAUUGAUACAAUGCCAACUCGUAAAUUUCGCAAGGAAAAGUUGGGACCAUGUUUGACAAGGCACGUCAGAUCUUUCAGUAAACCAUAUCAAGGAAAGCUGGCAGAUCUGGACUAGGCAAGUAAAUCCCCUUUAUAUUAGCUUUCUUGUCAUGAAAAUUUCCACACAAUAACCACGCAUGGACCUGGCCACAAAUGAAUUCCAGUCAGUGUUAUGAUCCAAGCUGAGCCAUUACCUGCUAGCAUAUCUCCCCACUAGGACUCCCAACAAAGCAAAGUUGAACCUGUUCUUUAAUUCAAUACCUAGAGACUUGAAGACUCCUAACACGAAGAAGCUCGAUCUAUCCAACAAGACAAGAAAAAAACGUAAACAAAAAGCAACCAUACAGAGUGAAUGUGCAGGAUCUACUUACCACGAUGCUGAUGAACACGACCUUCUCGUUCUCGCUGCAUCAGGGGCCCUUCCUCGUCGUCCGCGCAUCGCCAUCGAGCAGCUCAUCACUCCUCCAGCACCCUGCCCCUUCUUGGACCCAGGGCACGACACCAUUCUUGAUGUCUGGGAGGGAGGGAUCGGCGACCACCCCUUGCGUCGUCCGAGGGGGAGAUGAGGUGAAUGGGGAUAGGAGGAUGAGUGGCGGCGAGGGCGUGCAUGGAGACAGCGAGGGCGGGUUCUGCGAUGCGUGCGGAGGAAUGGCGACGACGGAUGUGGGAUGGAGAGCGGUUAGGUUUUUGUGGCUG